This 517-nucleotide ribosomal RNA is filed under the name Cryptopsilotris batrachodes (toadfish goby). RNAcentral's name for it is "partial 12S ribosomal RNA". It matches the Rfam family "Bacterial small subunit ribosomal RNA", at positions 794 to 1522 of the family's 1533-position model. The record is from RNAcentral. Lineage: Eukaryota; Metazoa; Chordata; Actinopteri; Gobiiformes; Gobiidae.
GCCUAGCCCUAAACACAGACGGAACAUAACCCCCACCCGUUCGCCAGGAAACUACGAGUACCCGCUUGAAACCCAAAGGACUUGGCGGUGCUUUGGACUACCUAGAGGAGCCUGUUCUAGAAUCGAUAAUCCCCGCUCAACCCGACCCUCUCUAGUUUAUUCAGCCUGUAUACCUCCGUCGUAAUUUCACCCCAUGAGGGAGUAAUAGUUGGAGAAAUCGGCAUUUAAUUACCCCAGAACGUCAGGUCAAGGUGCAGCUCACGAGAAGGAAUGUAAUGGGCUACAUUUUCUGGCCCAGAAAAUACGAAUUUUGCUCUGAAAAGGGCAUCUGAAGGCGGAUUUAGAAGUAAGGGGGGAGAAAUAGAGCGCCCCCCUGAAUACGGUCCUGAAGCGCGUACAAACCGCCCGUCACCCUCUCCACGGCCACCCCCCCCCCCCCUAUAAAUAAUACGCCCCCGGCCACAAAGGAGAGGCAAGUCGUAACAAGGUAAGUGUAGCGGAAGCUGCACUUGGAAAC